GAUGCCUAUACUGCAAGUCGAGCGGAUUAUUCCUUCGGGGAUAGCUUANCGGCGGACGGGUGAGUAACACGUAAGCAACCUGCCCACAAGACCGGGAUAACAUCCGGAAACGAAUGCUAAGACCGGAUACGCAAGCCUGGGGCAUCCCGGGCUUGGGAAACACGGCGCAAGCUGUGGCUUGUGGAUGGGCCUGCGGCGCAUUAGCUAGUUGGCGGGGUAACGGCCCACCAAGGCGACGAUGCGUAGCCGACCUGAGAGGGUGAACGGCCACACUGGGACUGAGACACGGCCCAGACUCCUACGGGAGGCAGCAGCAGGGAAUCUUCCGCAAUGGGCGCAAGCCUGACGGAGCAACGCCGCGUGAGUGAUGAAGGUUUUCGGAUCGUAAAGCUCUGUUGCCAAGGAAGAAAUGUAAGGAGAGUAACUGCUCUUUACUUGACGGUACUUGAGAAGAAAGCCCCGGCUAACUACGUGCCAGCAGCCGCGGUAAUACGUAGGGGGCAAGCGUUGUCCGGAAUUAUUGGGCGUAAAGCGCGCGCAGGCGGUUUUUUAAGUCUGGGGUUUAAUUGCAGGGCUCAACCCUGUAUCGCCUUGGAAACUGGGAGACUGGAGUGUANGAGAAGAAAGUGGAAUUCCACGUGUAGCGGUGAAAUGCGUAAAGAUGUGGAGGAACACCAGUGGCGAAAGCGACUUUCUGGCCUAUAACUGACGCUGAAGCGCGAAAGCGUGGGGAGGCAACAAGAUUAGAUACCCUGGUAGUCCACGCCGUAAACGAUGAGUGCUUAGUGUUAAGGGUUUCGAUACCCUUGGUGCCCAAAUUNAACACAGUAAGCACUCCGCCUGAGGAAUACGCUCCCAAGAAUGAACCUCAAGGGAUUGGACGGGGACCCGCACCACCAGUGGAAUUUGUGGGUUUAUUCCAAACAACGCCAAAACCCUUACCGGUCUUGAAAUCCC
RNAcentral lists this ribosomal RNA (957 nucleotides) under Firmicutes bacterium enrichment culture clone CTBE CDB1009G12. RNAcentral's name for it is "bacterial SSU rRNA". It matches the Rfam family "Bacterial small subunit ribosomal RNA", at positions 44 to 990 of the family's 1533-position model. Lineage: Bacteria; Bacillati; Bacillota. The record is from RNAcentral.